This 490-nucleotide ribosomal RNA is filed under the name uncultured bacterium. RNAcentral describes it as "partial 16S ribosomal RNA". It matches the Rfam family "Bacterial small subunit ribosomal RNA", at positions 30 to 507 of the family's 1533-position model. The record is from RNAcentral.
AUUGAACGCUGGCGGCAGGCCUAACACAUGCAAGUCGAACGGUAACAGGAAACAGCUUGCUGUUUCGCUGACGAGUGGCGGACGGGUGAGUAAUGUCUGGGAAACUGCCUGAUGGAGGGGGAUAACUACUGGAAACGGUAGCUAAUACCGCAUAACGUCGCAAGACCAAAGAGGGGGACCUUCGGGCCUCUCGCCAUCGGCUGUGCCCAGAUGGGAUUAGCUAGUAGGUGGGGUAAAGGCUCACCUAGGCGACGAUCCCUAGCUGGUCUGAGAGGAUGACCAGCCACACUGGAACUGAGACACGGUCCAGACUCCUACGGGAGGCAGCAGUGGGGAAUAUUGCACAAUGGGCGCAAGCCUGAUGCAGCCAUGCCGCGUGUAUGAAGAAGGCCUUCGGGUUGUAAAGUACUUUCAGCGGGGAGGAAGGGAGUAAAGUUAAUACCUUUGCUCAUUGACGUUACCCGCAGAAGAAGCACCGGCUAACUCCGUG